Molecule: non-coding RNA, 90 nt
Filed under: Pseudomonas sp. GV085
Lineage: Bacteria; Pseudomonadati; Pseudomonadota; Gammaproteobacteria; Pseudomonadales; Pseudomonadaceae
Source: RNAcentral
UGUAGGAGCGAGCCUGCUCGCGAUGGCUGCGUAACAUUCAGCAUUUGUGCUGGCUGAUACACCGCUAUCGCGAGCAGGCUCGCUCCUACA